GCAAACAGCAAUAAGGAGACUAGAGAAUCCCAAAAGCACUCUGCCACAAAGUGACUAAAGCCCCAUUGAGCACAAUGCCAACAGGCAAGCUGAGGGAACUAUUAACUCUACUUUGCCAAAAUGUGAGAUUUUGUUGGUAUUCUUGAAUAGUUGAAUAUGUUUGUCUGAACUAAUCCCUCCCUGUUCAUCCUCUUUCUUUCUGUGCUUCAUCUUCGAUUUCUUUCUAUCCCACAGCGAUUAAUCUGUUCAUCUUUUGUCACUUGACAGAGUGAGUAAUGAAUUUGGUUUCACUGUAAUCUAUGAGAUUGUUAUGAAUUAUUUAAGCUCUUCGUUGCUUUGAUACCAAUUUUGGUGCUGCUUUUUAUUUAUCCUUUAGUAGAAAUUAUCUGUACUGCCUUCAAAGUUGGAUUAUAUGGAUCUCAUUGGUGUAUUUUUGGGGGGUUCCCAGGGUUAUCAUUAUUGAAGUAUUUGCUUAAAUGUCUUCUUCGUACUUGGUUGGUAAAUGUUGCGCAACUCAUGCAUCUGUAAUUGAGGGUUUUGUUUUUUAAAUUUCUCAAUUUUAGGUCCAAGUUGUCUGUGGUGUGCGCUUUAUUUUGUUCAAUUUUGGUGAUUUUUUCUCUGUUCUUUCUUUCAUUCAAUGUCAUUUGUUAUUGCUACUGUAGUUUUGGUAUUGAUGGGUAUCGGCUACAGGCUAUGUUCUUUUGAGUGUGCUGUUGGAUUUUUACAUACACGUUAGUAACUUUAUCCAAUUUGCACGAUGUUGUACGGAAGAUGUUUGAUAAUAUGCUUGUAUGAACUUCCUUUGCGCUGCAUGGAAGAAGCUAUUUAUAAUAUUUUCCUAUUUCUAAUAGUCAUGUGAAUGGUGAUUUCGUGAAGCAUCUCCAAGUUAUAUUUUCAGAUCAGCUGUGCGUAAGUAUUUUUUUGUGAUACCAAGAACAUAAUUUUUUUCGUUUGUCUUCACGCUUAUUUUCAGAAGUUAUUUUCUUCUCAAAUCUAUGUGGGUAUCUCCCAAGAUCAGUACUUUAUGAGGUUUUAAGUUGUUUUAUUGAAGUAAAUUCCAAAAGGAACUCUUAACUUGAGGUGUUUCCUUUAUUUUGCUCUAAUGUAUUUUUCUUCUGAAUGUUAUUAUCAUUUCUAUGAUUUUUUUUGUUGGUGGUACUGAUAGACUGUCACUUUUUAUCUUCUCGAGCCAAGGGUCUAUUGGAAACAGUCUCUCUAUUCUCUCGGGUUAGAGGUAAGGUCACCAUACACACUAGCCUUGUUGUUGUAUUUUUCUUCCGAAUAGCAGAAGGAAUAAAGAAACUUAUGUUUUGUCUUUGUAAAAAAGAACGAGCUCUGCAUGAUUUACUAGGGUCAAAAAUCUGUCUUUUGUAUUUAUUUAGUAAAUUUUGUAUAUAUAUAUAUAUAUUGGGUUACAAUGAACCCGUAACAAUACAUAUAAAAACGACUUGCUCCUGAUUGAUAAACUAACAAAAAAAGAAACUAAAAUGCACGUCAUCCGGCACUUAAAAGGCACAAUUAAGGAUGUUACCAUGAAAAUAAGAGUAUCAUGUGGAGAUAGCAUGUUCUAGAAGGCGAAUAUUUAGCUAAAGAUAGUCAUAGAAGCCUCUUUUUGUCAGUAUCAUCUUUCACAUAUUCUAUAUAUGGCCUUCUAUCCUAGGUAGAAGAGGAAUAUGCUUUAAGUGUUUGUUCCAUAUUUUGCAGCUUCAAAUUUAUUCACCUUAAAUUGUUGCAAAAAUUAGUGAUUUGUGCUGAUUGUUGGUGGAAGACAGACCUAAAAGAGAGCUCCCUAACGGACAACAUUUGUUGCUGAAGGUUUAUUUCAGAUUUGCUCUAUAUUAUGGGAAUUGGGUGUUCAACAUAGAGUCGUGUUCAGCAUAGAGUCGUGUAAGUACUGCUCUUAGUCAUGUUGUCAUUUAUUGUUGAAUUUAUUAUGGGAAUUGUGAGUUCAAGUCAUGUUGUCAACCCUCACUUCUAACCGAGAAGUUGUGAGUUCAAAUCUCCCCAAGAGUAAGGUGGGAAGUUCUUGGAGGGAAGGAUGCCGGGGGUCUAUAUGGAAACAACCUCUCUACCCAAGGGUAAGGGUAAGGUCUGCGUACACACUACCCUCCCCCGACCCCACUAAGUGGGCUUAUACUGNNNNNNNNNNNNNNNNNNNNNNNNNNNNNNNNNNNNNNNNNNNNNNNNNNAACCUCUCUACCCAAGGGUAGGGGUAAGGUCUGCGUACACACUACCCUCCCCAGACCCCACUAAGUGGGAUUAUAUUGGGUUGUUGUUGUUGUUAUUAUUGUGCCCUUCUGUGGAAUUUCUUAUGCAUAACUAUUUGAGCUUCUGCUUCACAAACUAUGAAAUUAUUUAAGCUUCUUAACAUUAUUGAAAUAGUUGUGCAACUGUGAAAUAAUGUCUCUUAACUCUAGGUAAGACCAAGCAAAAUUUCUUAUCUGGGGAGAAAGACUUUACAGGU
RNAcentral lists this long non-coding RNA (2464 nucleotides) under Nicotiana benthamiana. Its description in RNAcentral is "long non-coding RNA (NBEN_LNC013127)". Lineage: Eukaryota; Viridiplantae; Streptophyta; Magnoliopsida; Solanales; Solanaceae. The record is from RNAcentral.